GGCCUGCGCCUCUAGGGGGCGUGCUGAGAAAGGUCAGAAUAGUGAUCUGUGUUGGCUACGUCUUGACAUCGUCAGCAGCCUUCUAAGCUAAGAAAACUGGGCCAGUUUGCAAGCAAAGAGGCUUGUGAGCUGUGCUAAGGAGGGCUGGUGCCCUGUAGUGGGACUGGGGAUCUGAAAACACGAAGCCACGCGAGACUAAAAGAACCAGUUGCCUCUGCACUCCACCAAGCUGGAGACAAGAUGCAAAGCAAGAUCUUUGCAGGAACCUCUAUUUCUUGUCUGCUCUUGCGCAAGUCACGUGUAGAAUGUUCCAGAUACAUUAGUGCUGAGGGAAGGAAACCAUGAUUGGCCUAAAUCAAGACAGCAUGCUGGGGAGGACCACUCAGGAAUGGAAGGAAAUCCAGGAGGGAACGUUUGUAAUUGGCAAAUCAAUCCGAGCCUACGGAAACUUGGACAGAUGGCCUUUUCAGAUCAGGUCUAAAGUAUUAUUUCUGGAAGGAAGCCUAGCACCUGUCUGGGUGUUAGCUUUGCAAUUACGGACGGCGUUUUGGGGCCGAUCCUGACAUCACAUUUGGUUCGCCGAUAGACGGGGGUGAACAUGUCAAGAAAAUGGAGGACGAUGACGAUGGAGCGAGACCUCGUUCCGUUUCCGAAGCUGAUAAUUUUGUUCCGAGUACGAGAAGUCUGAACGCCAGCGAUUCGACUUUCGCAUUAAAGGCACGUUUCCAGCCGCU
This 734-nucleotide long non-coding RNA is filed under the name Rattus norvegicus (Norway rat). RNAcentral's name for it is "long non-coding RNA NONRATT033447". The record is from RNAcentral. Lineage: Eukaryota; Metazoa; Chordata; Mammalia; Rodentia; Muridae.